UCUGUUUACUCCAGCGUGUUUCUAGCCUUCUGUCCUGCCUGCAGACCUGUUACCUCCUGAAGCUUUUGUUCCUGCCUUCCCCACUCUGGAUUGGAUGUGGAUUACGGACCUUGUUACUUCCCUUUGAAUGGAUUGGAGGAGUUAUCUGAACCUUUGGGAAGGCUCAACCCAAAUUAGAAAACCCAGCACUAUUUAACCAUUUGGUUAUACUAACACUGUUUCUGGUUCAGCAGUUCCAACAGCCCCUGGUGGAGUUCCCCAUUGCGGCUCUCUCUCUCUUUCUGAGAUCUCACAAUUGGAUUCCUUCUCCUCUGCUGUCAUCUGCUAAUUUUACAAUGGAGUCUGUGGUGACCAGGCGAGCUGUACAUGAAGAGGAGAGGACUGUGGACCCACCCCUGUGGUGUCUCAGCAAUCUGGGUCAGAGUAGCCAAGAUGCGAGUCACCAUCUUUGUACAGAAGUUCUUUUUCUCCCUAUUUGAGACGUAACAUCUUGGUGUUCCCCUGUUAAUUUUCUCUGGGAUUUGCAGUGUGGUGAUUAGCAGUUUCACAAAUUCUAAAUAGCCAAUUUCAUGGAAGAUAGGCACAUCGAGAGGAGUGUAUUGUGCCUAUGAUUAAAGUAUUGAUUCCUGCCAGGAAAGGGAGCUUGAUGCAAAAGAAUCAUAUAAUCAUUAUAUAAGUAAAAUGAUGG
Molecule: long non-coding RNA, 688 nt
Organism: Melanotaenia boesemani (Boeseman's rainbowfish)
Lineage: Eukaryota; Metazoa; Chordata; Actinopteri; Atheriniformes; Melanotaeniidae
Exons: 3
Source: RefSeq, a predicted model, not a curated record